GAGUUUGAUCCUGGCUCAGGAUGAACGCUAGCGGCAGGCUUAACACAUGCAAGUCGAGGGGUAACAGGAGAAAGCUUGCUUUUUCGCUGACGACCGGCGCACGGGUGAGUAACGCGUAUACAAUUUACCUUAUACAGGAGGAUAGCCUUUAGAAAUGAAGAUUAAUACUCCAUGGCAUUAUGAUAUGGCAUCAUAUUAUAAUUAAAGAUUUAUUGGUAUAAGAUGAGUAUGCGUCCUAUUAGUUAGUUGGUAAGGUAAUGGCUUACCAAGACUUCGAUAGGUAGGGGUCCUGAGAGGGAGACCCCCCACACUGGUACUGAGACACGGACCAGACUCCUACGGGAGGCAGCAGUGAGGAAUAUUGGACAAUGGAGGCAACUCUGGUCCAGCCAUGCCGCGUGCAGGAAGACGGCCCUAUGGGUUGUAAACUGCUUUUAUAUAGGAAGAAACCCAACCACGUGUGGUUGGCUGACGGUACUGUAUGAAUAAGCACCGGCUAACUCCGUGCCAGCAGCCGCGGUAAUACGG
RNAcentral lists this ribosomal RNA (528 nucleotides) under uncultured bacterium. RNAcentral describes it as "bacterial SSU rRNA". It matches the Rfam family "Bacterial small subunit ribosomal RNA", at positions 9 to 528 of the family's 1533-position model. The record is from RNAcentral.